GGAUGUGAUUGCCAUCUGACUGGGAUAUCCCUCACCUAUCUGAUUGCUGAGGUUGAUUCAACUGAUCUCUUUGGCUAGGCGGGUGUGCUCUGUCUCAUCACUUCCCGUGUGUCCCUCCCAAAGUUCUGCAUUCAGUGGAAGAAGAUGGCUUCCUCCAUAGAGGAGGACCAUUCUUUGAUCAAAGGUGGACAAGAAGCUGUCUUACCAUACUCGAGCAUCCAAACAAGCUGGGAAGGUCCAUUUGUAGGCAAAGGUAGGAGAGUCAAGCUUCUCAGACUCCAGACACAUCCAAAUGAGCCCUGCAUGAGACAGGCUGCCUUUAUUU
Molecule: small nuclear RNA, 325 nt
Filed under: Ailuropoda melanoleuca (giant panda)
Lineage: Eukaryota; Metazoa; Chordata; Mammalia; Carnivora; Ursidae
Description: 7SK RNA
Rfam family: 7SK RNA
About the family: 7SK was discovered as an abundant small nuclear RNA in the mid-70s but a possible function has only recently been suggested. Two independent studies have found that 7SK RNA binds the CDK9/cyclin T complex (known as elongation factor P-TEFb).
Source: Rfam by way of RNAcentral